GUAGUUUGCUAAUAUAAGGAAUAUUUUCUAUCACAUGAUGGGGAACAUCUAAUAAACGCAAAUUUACCAAGUUGGUCAAGCCAUCAUAUUCAAUACUUUCAUUCACAACUUUCCCUAGUGAAAGAGAUAGGUAGCGGAGGUGUAUCAAGCUACUAAGUGCAUCGGGCAGUUUAUAAGGGUCAAAAUUCACAUCUAAGAUCAAUAAGCGUAACUUUUUAAACCCUUUUAUAACCUCGAGAAAUUCAAGUGCAUGAUUUGCAUUAUGCUCAUUAUCCUCUCUAACAGAAAUGACAAGAGUGCGCACGUUCUUAAGAUUGGAGAUCUCUCUGAUGGAAAGAAGAUUUAUCAUCUCAACAUGUAAGUGUCGAACUGGUUUUGGAAUAAUAUUUCCUGCAACAUCACCUCCUAUUCUUUUGCAUUCCCCUAGAGAAACAGAUUGUGCUAGGUCAUGCAGCAGAUCGUGCAUAAAAUACUCUUUAGUAAUUUUCACCAGAUUAUCACUAGUUUCGCAAGUAAAGAAUGAUUUUCUUGUCAGAAGAUUUAAAUACUCAUUUCCGAUAUCCUCUGGCCUUUGCCUGUCGCAAAUAGAUUGCGGAAUCAGACUUGAACCAAUCCACAUAUUGACCAACUUUUUCCUCUUAAACAUAUAAUCUUGUGGAAAUAAACUACAAUAUCUAAAGCAGAGUUGUAAGUUUGUGGAUAAGUGAUCGUAGCUUAAUCUCAAAAUUGUCAUGAUGCCAUCCUUUCCUAGUUGUAAUUUCAUGAUGUCUUCUUCCAAGAUUUUCUUCCAAUAUUCAUAGUCCAUAUAGGAGUUCAGCAUUCCUCCCAUAACUUUUAUUGCCAAUGGGUAUCCUCCAAGUUUCUUCGCUAUAUGUUGACCAAUUGGUUGCAAGUUUUUAUAAUCAUCAGGAUUCACACCGAGGAAUGCAUGCUUAUUGAAAAGCGACAUAUAGUCGCUCUCCUCCAACUCAUUUAGAUUUAAUGAUUCCCGUUUGCAUUUCAUUACAUUUGCCACCAUAUCCGCAACUGAACCCAUUCGAGUUGUCAACAGGAUCUUGCUUCCUCUCUGUCCGGAUUUCAAAGGAGCAACCAAUUUCUCCCACUCCGUCAUGUUAUCAUCGUUCCAAACAUCAUCUAGUAUGAGCAAAAACCUCUUCGAUGUUAGUUUUUCUUUAAGUUUCUCAUGGAGUGCAUUUAGACGCUUGUCGCCAAAAUUCUCACUACUUACACAUUCUAAAAUUUUUCUUGUUAUCACAGUUACAUCGAAAUCCUGAGAAAUGCAAGCCCACAUAAUCGGGUCGAAGUACACUCGCACUCUUUCAUUACUAUAGACUAGUUGAGCAAGAGUGGUCUUCCCGAGCCCACCCAUACCAACAAUUGUGAAAGCAGAGACAUCAACAUCGGCAUCUCCCGGGUUGAUCAGCCAUUUGACUAUCAGGCCCGUCUCCUUGUCUCGUCCGAGCACCUCACUUUUGAUUACCAAGGAGCUAGUCUCGCGAGCAUUCUUGAUUUCCUCGAGCUUUUGACGCUUAACACUAGGAUUAGAAUUUUUAAGAUAAAUAAAUAAAUUUAUUUAAAAAAAUAUAUUUUGUAAUUAAAAAUAUAUGUGUGGGUACCCGUGGGUACCCGUGGGUUACCCAAAAUGCUCACAACUUAAUGGGUACCCACCCGUUUUACCCAUAAUUUUUUGGGUUGAAAAAGUUGCUACCCAUACCCGCAAAUUUGCGGAUAACCAACGGGCACCCGCGGGUUUGGGUCGAGAUUGCCGGGUCUAAUUGGUACCUUAAUAACAUCUAAUUGAUUUGAGUCUUGAUUUAGGAAAUUGAUUAUAAAAAUUACAUAUGCCUGCAUAAGGGAGGGUGGAGCAACUGCGUGCGCCAAAAUAUUACCUGCACCUGGUGUACAAGCACAUAUCUAUACACCGCAUCUCUGAAAUGGACAAAUGUUUUAGAACUAAGAAAAUUAAAAUCUAACUCACUGAAUGUUAAAGUGAUUUUAGACCAAAAAUGAUCUUUCCCUUCAUAAAGCAUUUGAUGAACUUGUCUUUCAAAAUCUAAUUCUUAUUUUUCUCUCUAAAAUCAGAAGUAUUUAAAACCUGCUAUCUCUAAUCUGAAUCUAAUUUUGAACUCAAAUUUUAAGCUUAAAUUUUAUUUUUAGGUUCAAAUUUUUAAUUUAAAUUUAGAUUUUUAAAUUUUAAAUUUUAAAUUUCAAAUUUAAGUUUUUAAAUCUUAAAUUUCAAGUUAUCAAUUUUUAGUUUUCAAAAUUUGAAUUUAGAUAUUAAUUUUUAGAUUUUAAAUCUCAAAUUUUAAAUUCAAUUUCAUAAUUUUUUUUAAUCUACUCUUUUUAGAUAUUUUAGGUUUAAUAUAUCAGACAAAUGUAUAUCGUUGUGUGGCAUAUAGCGUAUUUAUACACUGGAGGUACAUGCAUUUGUUCUUUCUGCAUAUCUGGUGUUUGGUAACACAUAAACUUAGUUAAAAAUAGUUUAAGAGAUAUUAAAUUAUAGAAAAAAUAAUAAUCCACUUGUUAGUAUUUUGUUUGGCGUAAAACAAAUUGAGAUUGAAGCACAAGUGCUCGGUUUGAAAGAAGAGAAAAUAAAGUAUGUAGGAAAGUAGAUGUGGGACGGAGGACAGAUACUACUGACUUUUUAGUUUUGUUUUUUCAUCCGAAAAUAAUUAUUUGUCACUUAAAGUAUAUAAUUAUGUCACUGGAAAGUGUAAAAUACGCAAACCAAUAUCAAAAAGCUAAUAUUAGUAUUUGACCAAAACUAUUUUCGACCUGAGCAUUUAUUUGAAUGCAUGAAUAUCUUAUCCGGUCUAUCUGUUAUGUUUAUUUAAGAACUGUAUAGUAUUUGGUAGAUUAGAAUUUCCAUCAAUUUAAUGGUUUUAAUUAUCUUUUGCAAACAAACUGAAACAACCAAUAGCUAAUAGAGGUAUUAAACUUCACAAAUUUUCGCUUUAACUAACUCAAAUAACUGAAAUAAAAAAAACCAUAUUAGAAUCUAAGAACAGUGUCAAUAAAAAACAAAAAUAAUUGCCAAGUUGAGGGGCCUAUUCGCAAUGGCGUAUAGUUGCAGAGGUCUCAUUUAGAAUUUUACCUCAAACAAAAAAAAAAAAAAAUUAUGUCUCUGAAAACAACAGUUCGAAAAAUAAGGAACUGCACAAAGGAGCGUAGACAGAAAAUUUGAAUCAAAACCAACCUUACAGAGAUUGAAGACUGAACUGAACAUCAGCAACAGUUGUCGGUCUGUUUGAGUUUUGAGUGUGCUUUUCUGUCGUCAAUGCAUUAGGAAAUUAAUUUUUUUUUCUGUUUUGGAAAAUCGUAAAGAAAGAAAAAGCAAGCAGCUGCAAGACGUGGUUGCAAGUUGAUGCCUGCUGCAGUGUAGGCCUCAUUUUCAAUUUACGGUGAAAUGUCGGUAUAAGUGUUAUCGACGGAGUGUCUGUCAAAUUUGCCCCGGAAAGUGGAUACAACCUGCAUUAAAAACUUGGAGUUGUUAUACUGCUAGAGAAACAUAAAAAUUGAUUGAUGUUUUAGCUACCUCAGAGAAGCUCAACAACUUCAUCAUAUAACAGACAAAAACAGAACAAGCUUAUGACUGGGCUAUGCGAUUUGCUAUUUGUGCAGGAAUCAAACACAAAAUUAUCUUUAAUAUAUACGCAUAUAAAUUGAGGGGAAACAAAAUUGAAGCAUUUAAUCUCCUUGCCGCAAAAAAGAGCAAUUUCUUUCUUAAAGAUUUUACAUUAGUUCGGCUGCUACAAACACACACACACACACACACACACACACACAAACAAAAAUGCAUGGAAUAUAUGUUACUCUGAUCCUGCACCAACAAAACUGAAGAACACAAGCAUGCAGUAAGACAUUAGUCUUUUUUUUCCAUAUUCUUAUGAAUAAAUUGAUGGACCAUGACCAUGUAUGGGAGUCAUAUAUGACAAUAAGAGCCUUUUUCACUAUUGCGCCAAAAAAGAAAGAGAAGAGAAAAUAAGUAGUAUGAUUUUAAUCUUGUUUUAUGCCAGAUAAGAAAAAUAGAUUCGAGCACCAAUAGGGGGUCCUAAUCCUUACAUGUUCCUGCACCACCAAAAUAGAACAUAAGCAGCUACUCUUGCUUUAUAUUCUUGAAAAAUUUGAAAGAAAUAUAUAUAUAUAGGAGUGCUAUACCAUUACUACUGCCCUGAACCAAGAAAUUUAACAAACUUAAAAAGCUUUUGUCAUGCUUCUCUUAUGUUCUAACUCAUCAGCGAGACUUCGCAUCUUGUUUGUACUCCUAGAGAGAGAAAUUACUGCACAAUUAGUCAUAUUUAACUUUAGAAAGCAAUUGACAUGCUAGCGCAAUUAACAUAUGUUAUAUUCAUGACAUUGUUUGUUAAGACUAGCACAAUGUAUUAUAUUCAUGACUAGCACAAUAUAUUCAUGACAUUGCGCUUUUUGGGGUUUUUUGGGGCUUUGAUUUUGGUUUUUGGUUUUUUUUGGUUUCUGGGUUCCUGCUCCUAGAUCUUGAUUGCGAUCAACCCAUGCUGUUCUUGCCGUUCUGUUUUUUCGCCUUACUAGACUGCUCCUAUACUCUCUGUUCUGACUUUGUUAAAAUAGGGUAUACCCCUGUUUAAUCAAAAAAAAAAAAGACUAGCACAAUGUAUUAUAGGAGGCAAUUAGUGCUUUAUUCCCUUUUUAUGUAUCCAAAUCAUAAAAUGAGAGUACAAAAUGUAAAAAUUCCAUUGAGGAUGCUAAUUAAAAAGGAACCUGGCUACUCUUGCAUUAUCUGAAAAAAGGUAAGCAAUUAAUCCCGUAAGAAAUGAGAUAACUUUGUUAAGACUGAAUGAGAUGUAUGUAGUUCAUUAAUUAAGACCAAAAUGAAUUGCAUUAUUUACAACAAAGGGUUACGAGAUGAAGGGGGGUAGAGUGUACUUACAAUUAAUAUGCAUCAUCAUCACGAUCUGCAAAUAAUGCUAUGUAAUCCUCACAAAACGGAUGUUGGCAAUCUUGGGCCAAUCAAGGCCUAUAUUCUCUUGGCAUCGCUCCUUCAACACAGGGUGACAGCUGUUGAUGACUAGACAACGCAGUGAAGUAGGUAGAUCUGGAAGUGACUGGAUGAGAUUAGCAUCUUCCACACCCAAAAUGACGAGGGAGCACAGUUUUGUCAUGCUGCGGGGUAGGGACUGAAGGGAGCGUGCUUCUCGUAUGCAUAAUUGUCCGGGGGGCAGCGUGAUUUUGUAGUAGCCAUUCCUCAGGUAAGGAGGCGAGAGCGCGUAAGCAUCAGAGAGAUGUCAAACGAGCAGACGGAGGAGAGACUUCUCAAUGGUCUAUGAGCAGGAGCGCGUGGUGUCAAUUGAUUAUAACCAUUCUUCAAAAACAGUCCAGUACUGUAUUCUUUUUUUGGCCGACAUCGUUGGGAAGGAGGCUGCAGCAGAAGGGCAACUUCAAUUAGCUUGUCACCACCUUUCAAUUAUCUAAAGAACGGAGCGAUACGAGAGCUUGUAUUCCACCAAUGAUGACAAGUUCUUUGCAGUUCUUAUAUUCUAAGCGGGAAAGCAUCGUCCACCGUGACACACUUUGUGCGGGGGAAGGGAUGCUAUACUUGCACAAUCGAGUAAUUCCACCAUAUAAAGAGGUUAAAUGCCGCUGACCACAGCAGUGGACCUCGAGGUCGCCAAAUGACAAUAGUGAGAUGACCGAGUACAGAGGGCAGUUCGAUGUCUGAGAUCCUACUUUUGUCAACUUGCGGCAAUUUUCUAUGUGCAAGGUUUUCAUGGCUUUGAAUUCCCAAAAAGCUCCGAUGGAACAUAUUCGAUCUUCUUACAGUGUCUGAUGACUAAGCUUUCAAGAGGCCUGAAAAUGUUCUUGCUACCGCAAGAAAAGAAAGAAAAGAUAUUUAAGUCUGGGCAAUCACAGCCAUGUAAAUACGAAUUGGUGUUUGGAUACAAGGGUAAAGUUUAAAUUGCCCCCGUGUGAUUUAACUCAUUUUAAACUUGACCUUGCAGUUCAAAAAGUUUUACUUUGCCCUCCUGUAGUUUAAUUUUUAUUUCAUCAAAAAAGUUCUAUAUGAAAUAGUGUGGCCAAUUAAAAAUAUUUAAAAAAUACUUUUUGAACUACAGGAGAGGGGGGUGAAAAUGAUAUUUUUGAACUACAGGAGGGGCAAGUGAAAAUGAGCUAAACCCAGGGGAGAAAUUUAAAGUUUACAAAAUAAAGCACUUACAUUGUUGUUUGCGUAAUUUGAUUUAUUGUUGAAAAGCGAUCAAUCCGACAUUAUAAAUAUGCAAAUCUCUUGACCAUAGAUGCAGAGUAGGAAUUCCCCUCAAAUUAGGGCAAUCAGAAAUAGACAUAGACUGAAGUUGAGGAAACAUGCACCUAUCAUCAAUUCCAAUCCACUCCUCCAAGUUAGGCAUGUCCCAUAACAAUAACAUCUUCAACGAUGGAAAGGCACAUCCACUGUUGCUUCCAAAGAAUGAACAAUCUAUUUGCUUUACUGUAUGCAGUCCCUGCAAGAAAAGGUGCCGGAGCGAAGAAAACUGCCAAAGAGGCGGGAGCUGCUCCCAUCUUUUACAAUCAAUUAGUUCGAUGGAUGUCAAAUUGACAAGAGACAGAUUUGUCAUCCAACAUGGAGAUUUAGCACCGUGGUAUUGUUCAAUGCGCAUUUUCUUGAGAUUGAUAUGUGGACAGAGGUUAUCGAGGAGCUGCUCAUCCGCUUCUGCACUAUUGGAGUGGCCUUCGGACCAUCGCAAUCCCAACGAUUUGAGAUAUUCUUUCUCAUUCAGCUUGGCCUCUGUAGCUUCUUCAGAAGUCCUCACAUUUUCAAGUUUCAUAAUACACAGGUGAUGAAGGUCCCUGAGGUUCUUGAGUUCACCGAUUUUGUAACCACUCUUCUCUCGGACAACAAAAUUUUGUAAUUUGUGGAUGAAAGGUAGUUUGCUAAUAUAAGGAAUAUUUUCUAUCACAUGAUAGGGAACAUCUAAUGAACGCAAAUUGACCAAGUUGGUCAAGCCAUCAUAUUCAAUACUUUCAUUCACAACUUUCCAUAGUGAAAGAGAUAGGUAGCGGAGGUGUAUCAAGCUACUAAGUGCAUUGGGCAGUUUAUAAGAGUGAAAAUUCACAUCUAAGAUCAAUAAGCGUAACUUUCUAAACCCUUUUAUAACCUCGAUAAAUUCAAGUGCAUGAUCUGCAUUAUGCCUAUUGUCCUCUUUAACA
Molecule: long non-coding RNA, 7179 nt
Filed under: Ananas comosus (pineapple)
Lineage: Eukaryota; Viridiplantae; Streptophyta; Magnoliopsida; Poales; Bromeliaceae
Description: long non-coding RNA (ACOM_LNC017362)
Source: RNAcentral